This 22-nucleotide microRNA is filed under the name Lingula anatina. Its description in RNAcentral is "Lan-Mir-12-P4_3p* (star (passenger))". The record is from RNAcentral. Lineage: Eukaryota; Metazoa; Brachiopoda; Lingulata; Lingulida; Lingulidae.
AGUGCCUUGUGUGAUAUUCUUG